RNAcentral lists this ribosomal RNA (254 nucleotides) under uncultured bacterium. RNAcentral's name for it is "partial 16S ribosomal RNA". It matches the Rfam family "Bacterial small subunit ribosomal RNA", at positions 524 to 776 of the family's 1533-position model. The record is from RNAcentral.
UACGAAGGGGGCUAGCGUUGUUCGGAAUCACUGGGCGUAAAGGGCGCGUAGGCGGCUUUAUAAGUCGGGGGUGAAAGCCUGUGGCUCAACCACAGAAUUGCCUUCGAUACUGUAGAGCUUGAGACCGGAAGAGGUUAGUGGAACUGCGAGUGUAGAGGUGAAAUUCGUAGAUAUUCGCAAGAACACCAGUGGCGAAGGCGGCCUUCUGGACUGUCCCUGACGCUGAGGCGCGAAAGCCAGGGGAGCGGAACAGG